CUACGGGCGGCUCCAGUGGGGAAUAUUGCACAAUGGGCGCAAGCCUGAUGCAGCCAUGCCGCGUGUAUGAAGAAGGCCUUCGGGUUGUAAAGUACUUUCAGCGGGGAGGAAGGGAGUAAAGUUAAUACCCUUGCUCAUUGACGUUACCCGCAGAAGAAGCACCGGCUAACUCCGUGCCAGCAGCCGCGGUAAUACGGAGGGUGCAAGCGUUAAUCGGAAUUACUGGGCGUAAAGCGCACGCAGGCGGUUUGUUAAGUCAGAUGUGAAAUCCCCGGGCUCAACCUGGGAACUGCAUCUGAUACUGGCAAGCUUGAGUCUAGUAGAGGGGGGUAGAAUUCCAGGUGUAGCGGUGAGAUGCGUAGAGAUCUGGAGGAAUACCGGUGGCGAAGGCGGCCCCCUGGACGAAGACUGACGCUCAGGUGCGAAAGCGUGGGGAGCAAACAGGAUUAGAUACCCCCGUAGUC
This 464-nucleotide ribosomal RNA is filed under the name uncultured bacterium. Its description in RNAcentral is "partial 16S ribosomal RNA". It matches the Rfam family "Bacterial small subunit ribosomal RNA", at positions 339 to 795 of the family's 1533-position model. The record is from RNAcentral.